GACGAACGCUGGCGGCGUGCCUAAUACAUGCAAGUAGAACGCUGAAGGAGGAGCUUGCUUCUCUGGAUGAGUUGCGAACGGGUGAGUAACGCGUAGGUAACCUGCCUGGUAGCGGGGGAUAACUAUUGGAAACGAUAGCUAAUACCGCAUAAUAGCAGUUGUUGCAUGAUAACUGUUUGAAAGGUGCAAUUGCACCACUACCAGAUGGACCUGCGUUGUAUUAGCUAGUUGGUGGGGUAACGGCUCACCAAGGCGACGAUACAUAGCCGACCUGAGAGGGUGAUCGGCCACACUGGGACUGAGACACGGCCCAGACUCCUACGGGAGGCAGCAGUAGGGAAUCUUCGGCAAUGGACGGAAGUCUGACCGAGCAACGCCGCGUGAGUGAAGAAGGUUUUCGGAUCGUAAAGCUCUGUUGCAAGAGAAGAACGAGUGUGAGAGUGGAAAGUUCACACUGUGACGGUAUCUUACCAGAAAGGGACGGCUAACUACGUG
This 495-nucleotide ribosomal RNA is filed under the name uncultured bacterium. Its description in RNAcentral is "partial 16S ribosomal RNA". It matches the Rfam family "Bacterial small subunit ribosomal RNA", at positions 28 to 507 of the family's 1533-position model. The record is from RNAcentral.